RNAcentral lists this unclassified non-coding RNA (39 nucleotides) under Trypanosoma congolense. RNAcentral describes it as "trans-spliced leader sequence SL-1". Lineage: Eukaryota; Euglenozoa; Kinetoplastea; Trypanosomatida; Trypanosomatidae. The record is from RNAcentral.
AACUAAAGCUUAUAAUAGAACAGUUUCUGUACUAUAUUG